ACUCAAAUGAAUUGACGGGGGCCCGCACAAGCGGUGGAGUAUGUGGCUUAAUUCGAUGCAACGCGAAGAACCUUACCUAGCCUUGACAUGCACUGGACGGACGCUGAAAGGCGUAUUCCCUUCGGGGCCGGUGCACAGGUGCUGCAUGGCUGUCGUCAGCUCGUGUCGUGAGAUGUUGCGUUAAGUCGCGCAACGAGCGCAACCCCUGUCCUUAGUUGCCAUCAUUUAGUUGGGCACUUUAGGGAAACAAACCCUCUUUGAGGGUGGGAAGGUGGGGAUGACGUCAAGUCAGGAUGGCCCUUACGGCUAGGGCUGCACACGUACUACAAUGCCCGGUACAAAUGGAAGCAAUGUUGUAAGGCAAAGCAAACCCAAAAAACCGGGCUCAGUUCAGAUUGUAGUCUGCAACUCGACUACAUGAAGUUGGAAUCGCUAGUAAUGGCGUAUCAGCUACGGCGCCGUGAAUACGUUCCCGGGCCUUGUACACACCGCCCGU
Molecule: ribosomal RNA, 496 nt
Filed under: uncultured bacterium
Lineage: Bacteria
Description: partial 16S ribosomal RNA
Rfam family: Bacterial small subunit ribosomal RNA
Source: RNAcentral